UACAGAGGUCCCAAGCGUUGUUCGGAAUUACUGGGCGUAAAGCGUGCGUAGGCGGCGGGGUAAGUCGGGUGUGAAAUCUCAGGGCUCAACCCUGAAAUUGCAUUCGAUACUACUUUGCUUGAGCUCUGAAGAGGAGGUUGGAAUUCUCGGUGUAGCAGUGAAAUGCGUAGAUAUCGAGAGGAACACCAGUGGCGAAGGCGAGUCCCUGGACAAAACCUGACACUGAGGCACGAAAGCUAGGGGAGCAAACAGG
RNAcentral lists this ribosomal RNA (253 nucleotides) under uncultured bacterium. RNAcentral's name for it is "partial 16S ribosomal RNA". It matches the Rfam family "Bacterial small subunit ribosomal RNA", at positions 524 to 776 of the family's 1533-position model. The record is from RNAcentral.